UACCGCCGUCGUCAGCUUACCCUAUGAAGGUCUAACAGUAAGCAGAAUUGGCAUAGCCCAAAACGUCAGGUCGAGGUGUAGCGAACGAGAAGGGAAGAAAUGGGCUACAUUUACUGAGUCAGUCUAUACGGAUAUUGUACUGAAAAAGCAUUUAAAGGAGGAUUUAGCAGUAAGGGAAGAAUAGAGCGCCUCCCUGAAAACGGCCCUGAAGCGCGUACACACCGCCCGUCACUCUCCCCGAACACUUAACACCUAAUAAAUAAGCACCCAACAAAAAUAAGGGGAGGCAAGUCGUAACAUGGUAAGUGUACCGGAAGGUGCACUUGGAAAAACC
RNAcentral lists this ribosomal RNA (334 nucleotides) under Valenciennea strigata (blueband goby). RNAcentral describes it as "partial 12S ribosomal RNA". It matches the Rfam family "Bacterial small subunit ribosomal RNA", at positions 1044 to 1528 of the family's 1533-position model. The record is from RNAcentral. Lineage: Eukaryota; Metazoa; Chordata; Actinopteri; Gobiiformes; Gobiidae.